Molecule: long non-coding RNA, 830 nt
Filed under: Linum usitatissimum (flax)
Lineage: Eukaryota; Viridiplantae; Streptophyta; Magnoliopsida; Malpighiales; Linaceae
Description: long non-coding RNA (LUSI_LNC002636)
Source: RNAcentral
CAAUUCCAAUUUUCCCACCCCCAACAAUAAUUGAAUGUUGAGAGAUGAAUUGAAGGCACGUACUUAUAAUAAGGCAUUAGCUCGGUUUUGGUUGGGGGGGGGAGAAAAGAAAUAUUAGCAUGUGACGAUGUGAUGUUAAAGUAUAUAUUGUGUUGUUGUUCCCUUCUUCUUUGCUUCUUUUUAUUGGUUCUCAUCCCAAGCCCUAAAUCAACCCCUACACAUCUGAAUUAUCUCUCCAAAUUCGGUAUGAUCCGUCUCCGAUCCUCCCAACUUUGUCAUAACUACCUGUGAGUCACCUUCAAAUAUUACCUGCUGAUGGCCAAUCGAUAUUACCCACCGGAGAGCCUCAAGCAUUGCCACUGCUUUACCCACCCGCGCCGAUCAGCAUCCCGGAUAGGUAAGCAUUUUGUAUCCCACUAUGGUGCCAGCUUGGUCCAUGAUAACCAUUCCAACACCCAUACACUGAAUGUCGCUAAACGAGGCUAUAUCGAUAUUACAUUGCAGCAGGUUUGCGGGCGGAGAAUGCCACCUAGGACAAUAUACUCUUAUGUUCGGUUGAGUUGUUGUCGGACGUUCUUGAGAUGUCUCCCACUCAUUGAUCUGUUGUAGUCCUUCCAAGACCGCAAGAGUUGCCGGUUUACUUCCAUUGUUCCACACACGGUCAUUCCUUUCUCUCCAUAUGCACCAGAUACCAGUCGCUAUGUUCCGACAUACAUCCCCCGGUUGAGUCGAAACCAAUUGCCACAACCAUCCAUCGACUUCUGUGGAGUUAAUUCCAUAGUUUCCGCCAGUCACCUUGUUUGUGAAGAGCCUAUCGGUCGACCACAUGG